UACAGAGGUCCCAAGCGUUGUUCGGAUUUACUGGGCGUAAAGGGUGCGUAGGCGGUCGGGUAAGUCUGAUGUGAAAUCCCGUGGCUCAACCACGGAACUGCAUUGGAAACUAUCCGGCUAGAGGGUGCGAGGGGGGACUGGAAUUCUCGGUGUAGCAGUGAAAUGCGUAGAUAUCGAGAGGAACACCAGUGGCGAAAGCGAGUCCCUGGAGCAUUCCUGACGCUGAGGCACGAAAGCUAGGGGAGCAAACAGG
This 253-nucleotide ribosomal RNA is filed under the name uncultured bacterium. RNAcentral's name for it is "partial 16S ribosomal RNA". It matches the Rfam family "Bacterial small subunit ribosomal RNA", at positions 524 to 776 of the family's 1533-position model. The record is from RNAcentral.